Felis catus (domestic cat) is the source of this 85-nucleotide transfer RNA. It matches the Rfam family "tRNA". Rfam says of the family: Transfer RNA (tRNA) molecules are approximately 80 nucleotides in length. Their secondary structure includes four short double-helical elements and three loops (D, anti-codon, and T loops). The record is from Rfam. Lineage: Eukaryota; Metazoa; Chordata; Mammalia; Carnivora; Felidae.
GCCUGGGUGGCUCAGUCGGUGGAGCAUCUGACUUCAGCUCAGGUCAUGAUCUCAUGGUUCAUGGGUUUGAGCCCCACAUUGGGCU